This 330-nucleotide ribosomal RNA is filed under the name uncultured eukaryote. Its description in RNAcentral is "partial 18S ribosomal RNA". It matches the Rfam family "Eukaryotic small subunit ribosomal RNA", at positions 1470 to 1796 of the family's 1831-position model. The record is from RNAcentral.
CCCUUAGAUGUUCUGGGCCGCACGCGCGCUACACUGAUGCAUUCAACAAGCCUAGCCUUGACCGAGAGGUCCGGGUAAUCUUUGAAACUGCAUCGUGAUGGGGCUAGAUUAUUGCAAUUAUUAAUCUUCAACGAGGAAUGCCUAGUAAGCGUGAUUCAUCAAAUCGCGUUGAUUACGUCCCUGCCCUUUGUACACACCGCCCGUCGCUCCUACCGAUUGAAUGUGUUGGUGAGGAGCUCGGAUUGGUCUCGGCCCGCUCUUUACCGGGCGGCGCCGUUGGUCGAGAAGACGCUCGAACUUGAUCGUUUAGAGGAAGUAAAAGUCGUAACA